AUGGCGGAUUCGAAGCUGCCCGACAUCCAGUCCGGCUACGAGAAGGGCAUCACCAACGUGCUGGCGGGUCUUUCCGGCCUCAAUCUGAUCUACGAGUCGG
Molecule: regulatory RNA element, 100 nt
Organism: Mesorhizobium australicum
Lineage: Bacteria; Pseudomonadati; Pseudomonadota; Alphaproteobacteria; Hyphomicrobiales; Phyllobacteriaceae
Rfam family: Pyrrolysine insertion sequence mttB
Source: Rfam